UACGUAGGGCGCAAGCGUUGUCCGGAAUUAUUGGGCGUAAAGAGCUCGUAGGCGGUUUGUUGCGUCUGGUGUGAAAUCUCAAGGCUUAACCUUGAGCGUGCAUCGGGUACGGGCAGACUAGAGUGUGGUAGGGGAGACUGGAAUUCCUAGUGUAGCGGUGAAAUGCGUAGAUAUUAGGAGGAACACCAGUGGCGAAGGCGGCUUUCUGGACUGAUACUGACGCUGAGGAACGAAAGCGUGGGGAGCAAACAGGAUUAGAUACCCCCGUACGUCCCU
Molecule: ribosomal RNA, 276 nt
Filed under: uncultured prokaryote
Description: partial 16S ribosomal RNA
Rfam family: Bacterial small subunit ribosomal RNA
Source: RNAcentral